This 617-nucleotide long non-coding RNA is filed under the name Solanum lycopersicum (tomato). Its description in RNAcentral is "partial TCONS_00143505". Lineage: Eukaryota; Viridiplantae; Streptophyta; Magnoliopsida; Solanales; Solanaceae. The record is from RNAcentral.
UAGUCUUUAUAUCUCAAAGUAGGAGAAUUAAUAUUUUUUUGAUCCAGAGACGCUUUUGUCAAAAAUCUUUUACAAAAAGUAAUUUUGUGGAAAAAUAAUUUGUGGUGUAUGUUAUUUCUGGUCAAACAUGACAAAUGUAAAAAGUAGCGCCUUUUCGGUGCUAGCUUAUAGCCUCCAAUAAUCGACGUAUAUUUUAAUACUUUUUUUGUUUCAUUUUAAGUUGAAGUGCAUAUUGCGUUUCUUUAUUCUAGAUGACAAACGUUAGAAGCUUCCAUUUUCGUGCUUAAUUCAGUAACUUUUAGUGAUCUUCCAUGUUUUGUUGUUUUGGUGACACUAAAGUUUUUCUUAUUUUGCAAGACGGAUUUUGAGCAUAUGUGUAUCAGCACAAUCACAACCUCUCUGAUGAGUGAAAUCUAGUUAUGAUGUAACGACUUUGGAAGGACAUACAUCUAAGUCCAAAAGGGUCUUUUCUUGCAAUUGGGUAAGCAUUACUCCCAGUUUUUCAUUUUAUUGAUCUCGACUAUGUGUACUCAUGUUCAUAUCCCUACUUUUGUUUCUAAUUAUCUUGUAAUUUAUUAACCUUGGAAAUGACAAUCUUUAUAACCGCUAUUUUAUAG